RNAcentral lists this non-coding RNA (190 nucleotides) under Tumebacillus algifaecis. RNAcentral describes it as "Lysine sequence". It matches the Rfam family "Lysine riboswitch aptamer". Rfam says of the family: Riboswitches are metabolite binding domains within certain messenger RNAs that serve as precision sensors for their corresponding targets. Allosteric rearrangement of mRNA structure is mediated by ligand binding, and this results in modulation of gene expression. Lineage: Bacteria; Bacillati; Bacillota; Bacilli; Caryophanales; Alicyclobacillaceae. The record is from Rfam by way of RNAcentral.
GAGUGGGGUAGAGGCGCGGGUAAUAUGAGUAUCGAUUAGGAAGUGCUGGCACACUGAUGAGCAAUCGAGAAAGGAUGACCGCCGAAGUGGAGAACUUGCCAAACGUUUUCUGCUGGGUCGACAUUGAAUAAGUGUCGAACUGUCACCGCCGAAUCUGAAGUGAUUCUGUAGGUGAAGCGCUACUUCAUGA